GACGAACGCUGGCGGCGUGCUUAACACAUGCAAGUCGAGCGGUAAGGCCCUUUCGGGGGUACACGAGCGGCGAACGGGUGAGUAACACGUGGGUGACCUGCCCUCAGCUCUGGGAUAAGCCUGGGAAACCGGGUCUAAUACUGGAUAUGACUCCAUGACGCAUGUUGUGGGGUGGAAAGCCUUGUGCGGCUGAGGAUGGGCCCGCGGCCUAUCAGCUUGUCGGUGGGGUGANGGCCUACCAAGGCGACGACGGGUAGCCGGCCUGAGAGGGCGACCGGCACACUGGGACUGAGACACGGUCCAGACUCCUACGGGAGGCAGCAGUGAGGAAUCUUGCGCAAUGGGCGAAAGCCUGACGCAGCGACGCCGCGUGGAGGAUGAAGGUCUUCGGAUUGUAAACUCCUGUCGAGCGGGAC
RNAcentral lists this ribosomal RNA (416 nucleotides) under uncultured bacterium. Its description in RNAcentral is "bacterial SSU rRNA". It matches the Rfam family "Bacterial small subunit ribosomal RNA", at positions 28 to 446 of the family's 1533-position model. The record is from RNAcentral.